This is a long non-coding RNA of Anopheles funestus (African malaria mosquito), 1642 nucleotides long. RefSeq lists it as uncharacterized. The transcript has 5 exons. The record is from RefSeq and is a predicted model, not a curated record. Lineage: Eukaryota; Metazoa; Arthropoda; Insecta; Diptera; Culicidae.
UGGGCUGGGCCAACAGGGCUUCAUACAGGUGUAGGAGGGUGUAACAUGGCGUCACUGGGGAGUGGGCUGGGCCAACAGGGCUUCAUACAGGUGUAGGAGGGUGUAACAUGGCGUCACAGGGGAGUGGGCGGGGCUACUGGGGUUCAUACAGGUGUAGAAGGGUGUAACAUGGCGUCACAGGGGAGUGGGCGGGGCUAUGGGGCUUCAUACAGGUGUAGAAGGGUGUAACAUGGCGUCACUGGGGAGUGGGCGGGGCUACAGGGCUUCAUACAGGUGUAGAAGGGUGUAACAUGGCGUCACAGGGGAGUGGGCGGGGCUAUGGGGCUUCAUACAGGUGUAGAAGGGUGUAACAUGGCGUCACAGGGGAGUGGGCGGGGCUACUGGGCUUCAUACAGGUGUAGAAGGGUGUAACAUGGCGUCACUGGGGAGUGGGCGGGGCUACUGGGGUUCAUACAGGUGUAGAAGGGUGUAACAUGGCGUCACUGGGGAGUGGGCGGGGCUACUGGGGUUCAUACAGGUGUAGAAGGGUGUAACAUGGCGUCACUGGGGAGUGGGCGGGGCUACAGGGCUUCAUACAGGUGUAGGAGGGUGUAACAUGGCGUCACUGGGGAGUGGGCGGGGCUACAGGGGUUCAUACAGGUGUAGAAGGGUGUAACAUGGCGUCACAGGGGAGUGGGCGGGGCUACAGGGGUUCAUACAGGUGUAGAAGGGUGUAACAUGGCGUCACAGGGGAGUGGGCGGGGCUACUGGGCUUCAUACAGGUGUAGAAGGGUGUAACAUGGCGUCACUGGGGAGUGGGCGGGGCUACUGGGGUUCAUACAGGUGUAGAAGGGUGUAACAUGGCGUCACAGGGGAGUGGGCGGGGCUACUGGGCUUCAUACAGGUGUAGAAGGGUGUAACAUGGCGUCACUGGGGAGUGGGCUGGGCCAACAGGGCUUCAUACAGGUGUAGAAGGGUGUAACAUGGCGUCACAGGGGAGUGGGCGGGGCUAUGGGGGUUCAUACAGGUGUAGGAGGGUGUAACAUGGCGUCACAGGGGAGUGGGCGGGGCUAUGGGGCUUCAUACAGGUGUAGAAGGGUGUAACAUGGCGUCACAGGGGAGUGGGCGGGGCUACUGGGGUUCAUACAGGUGUAGAAGGGUGUAACAUGGCGUCACAGGGGAGUGGGCGGGGCUACUGGGGUUCAUACAGGUGUAGAAGGGUGUAACAUGGCGUCACUGGGGAGUGGGCGGGGCUACAGGGGUUCAUACAGGUGUAGAAGGGUGUAACAUGGCGUCACUGGGGAGUGGGCGGGGCUACUGGGGUUCAUACAGGUGUAGAAGGGUGUAACAUGGCGUCACUGGGGAGUGGGCGGGGCUACUGGGGUUCAUACAGGUGUAGAAGGGUGUAACAUGGCGUCACUGGGGAGUGGGCGGGGCUACAGGGGUUCAUACAGGUGUAGAAGGGUGUAACAUGGCGUCACUGGGGAGUGGGCGGGGCUACAGGGGUUCAUACAGGUGUAGAAGGGUGUAACAUGGCGUCACUGGGGAGUGGGCGGGGCUACAGGGCUUCAUACAGGUGUAGGAGGGUGUAACAUGGCGUCACUGGGGAGUGGGCGAGGCUACUGGGCUUCAUACAGGUGUAGAAGGGUGUAACAUGGCGUCA